UGAGGGAGGAAGGGAAUAAU
This 20-nucleotide microRNA is filed under the name Haemonchus contortus (barber pole worm). Its description in RNAcentral is "hco-miR-265". Its record names the gene hco-miR-265. The record is from miRBase by way of RNAcentral. Lineage: Eukaryota; Metazoa; Nematoda; Chromadorea; Rhabditida; Trichostrongylidae.